This is a long non-coding RNA of Numida meleagris (helmeted guineafowl), 426 nucleotides long. RefSeq lists it as uncharacterized. The transcript has 3 exons. The record is from RefSeq and is a predicted model, not a curated record. Lineage: Eukaryota; Metazoa; Chordata; Aves; Galliformes; Numididae.
GGCAUGUCCAGAUGCCAUCAUCACACAGUGAUAUUCCAUGUACCCCCCCCCCUCCCCAGCCUUGUCCUUUUUUACUGAAACCACUUGUGGGAUCAUCUGAAACAGAUUUAUGUUGGAAAAGGAUGAUACAGUUACUUAAUUUCUAAAGUGCUAAAAAUUCCACAAGGACUACUUUGGGUAACGCUACUGAGGAGUACACAUCACAUCCAGAAGCCCCACUGAAGGAAGAGUUGCUAUCACAGAUGUGCCACCCUGAUGCUGCCUCUGGUACUGUUGUUGCCCUGCAGUUCUCAUGGAAGAGCAAAUCAGCGGCACAGUGGCUGUCAUCACAUUGCAGCCUCUCACCAUGCCCACAAAUAGUUCUCUUCUGUGAAGGGUGAGAAAUCCUCAUCUGAAUUUGGAAUAAACAUCAAGGCAUUUCAUCAA